RNAcentral lists this ribosomal RNA (253 nucleotides) under uncultured bacterium. RNAcentral describes it as "partial 16S ribosomal RNA". It matches the Rfam family "Bacterial small subunit ribosomal RNA", at positions 524 to 776 of the family's 1533-position model. The record is from RNAcentral.
UACGUAGGGUGCGAGCGUUAAUCGGAAUUACUGGGCGUAAAGCGUGCGCAGGCGGCUUCGCAAGUCAGACGUGAAAUCCCCGGGCUUAACCUGGGAAUGGCGUUUGAAACUACGGAGCUGGAGUGUGGCAGAGGGAGGUAGAAUUCCACGUGUAGCGGUGAAAUGCGUAGAUAUGUGGAGGAAUACCGAUGGCGAAGGCAGCCCCCUGGGUCAAAACUGACGCUCAUGCACGAAAGCGUGGGGAGCAAACAGG